CCUACGGGGGGCAGCAGUGAGGAAUAUUGGUCAAUGGCCGGAAGGCUGAACCAGCCAAGUCGCGUGAGGGAAUAAGGCCCUAUGGGUCGUAAACCUCUUUUGUCAGGGAGCAAAGGCGUCCACGUGUGGACGAGAGGAGAGGACCUGAAGAAAAAGCAGCGGCUAACUCCGUGCCAGCAGCCGCGGUAAUACGGAGGAUGCGAGCGUUAUCCGGAUUUAUUGGGUUUAAAGGGUGCGUAGGCGGAGUGUCAAGUCAGCGGUAAAAUUUCGGGGCUCAACCCCGUCGUGCCGUUGAAACUGACGCCCUUGCGUGCGUGAGAAGUAAGCGGAAUGCGUUGUGUCGCGGUGACAUGCAUAGAUCUCACGCAGAACGCCGAUUGCGACGGCAGCUUACCGUCGCUCAACUGUCGCUGAGGCACGAACGUGCGGGUAUCGAACAGGAUUAGAUACCCGAGUAGUC
Molecule: ribosomal RNA, 460 nt
Filed under: uncultured bacterium
Lineage: Bacteria
Description: partial 16S ribosomal RNA
Rfam family: Bacterial small subunit ribosomal RNA
Source: RNAcentral